This is a long non-coding RNA of Bos taurus (domestic cattle), 1052 nucleotides long. The record is from Ensembl. NCBI's taxonomy places the organism in Eukaryota, Metazoa, Chordata, Mammalia, Artiodactyla, Bovidae.
CCACACAGCUAAGUGGAGCUUCCCGCAGCAUGCCAGCUGGGUUCUGAGUGGGAGAACCUCCAAAAGGACAGGCCAGGUGUUCAGGAAAGAAAUGAAAAAGACUGCUAACUGGAGAUGCAAAAGAAACAGCACAGUUAAUGCCUUAUUUGGAAGAAGAACAAAGUUGGAGGGCUGACACUACCGAACUUCACGAAUUAUUUGCAAGCUGUGGUAAUCAAGACAGUGCGAUACAGGUGAAAGGAGAGAAAAAUAGAUCAAUGGAAUAGAAUAGAAUAGAGAACCCAGAAAUAGAUUCCCAUAAAUGGAUUCCCAGUUGUUCCAAAUGGUUCUGGAACAACUGGACACCACAUGCGCAAAAAAAAAAAAAAAAGAAGAAUCUGGACACAGAUCUUAGAUCUUUCACAAAAAUUAACUCAAAGUGGAUCAUAGAGCUAAAUGCAAAAUGCAAGCUUAUAAAACUCCUAGAAAAUGCCAUGGAAGAAAAUCUAGAUGAUCUUGGAUAUGGCAGCGAUCUUUUAGAUAUAACAUCAAAGCGACAAUUCAUGAAAGAAAUCAUUAAACUUAAAACCUUAAGCUCUGUGAAAGAACUGUCAAGAUGAGAAGAGGCACAAACUAGGAGAACAUUUUUACAAAAGACAUUUCUGCUAAAGGACUGUUAUUUGCAAUAUUGAAAGAACCGUUACAUCUCAACAAUAAGAACAUGGAUAAGCUGAUAUUUAAAAUGGGCCAAAGAGUUGAAAAGCUACUUCCCUAAAUAACAUACACGUAAGGCAAAUAAGUACAUGAAAAGAUGCUCCACGUUAUACGUCACUGGUGGUGGUUUAGUCACCAAGUCACGUCUGACUCUUGCGACCCCAUGGACCAUAGCCCUCCAGGCUCCUCUGUCCACGGAAUUCCCCAGGCAAGAAUACUGGAGGGGGCCGCCAUUUCCUUCUCCACUCACAUGUCAUUAGUGAAAUGCAAAUUAAACAACAGUGAAAAAUCAUUACAUGCCUAGGAGAAUGGCUGAGACCUGGAACACUGACAACACCAAAUGCUGUGAAGAUAUGAGG